RNAcentral lists this signal recognition particle RNA (297 nucleotides) under Saimiri boliviensis boliviensis (Bolivian squirrel monkey). RNAcentral describes it as "Metazoan signal recognition particle RNA (ENSSBOG00000006786.1)". It matches the Rfam family "Metazoan signal recognition particle RNA". Rfam says of the family: The signal recognition particle (SRP) is a universally conserved ribonucleoprotein. It is involved in the co-translational targeting of proteins to membranes. The record is from RNAcentral. Lineage: Eukaryota; Metazoa; Chordata; Mammalia; Primates; Cebidae.
GCCGGGCGCGGUGCCUGUAGUCCCAGCUACUCGCGAGGCUGAGGUGGGAAGAUCGCUUGAGCCCAGGAGUUCUGGGCUGUAGUGCGCUAUGCCAAUCGGGUGUCCGCACUAAGGUCGGCAUCAAUAUGGUGACCUCCCGGGAGCGGAGCAGGGAACCACCAGGUUGCCUAAGGAGGGGUGAAACGGCCCAGGUCGGAAACAGAGCAGGUCCAAACUCCUGUGCUGAUGAGUAGUGGGAUUGCGGCUGUGAAUAGUCACUGCACUCCCGCCUGGGCAACAUAGCGAGACCCGGUGUCC